CUUCAUCUCAAUGUUAGUCUAGACAACUAAAAAAUCUCCAGGCCCCUUGAAUUAGUGAUCAUGUCUCCUCUAUCACUGACCUUGGGGACAAUUUAGAUCAUUUUUGAUGCAAUCAGUGCUUUUCAUGCUGUCAAAUGUAAUGACAGCACAGCUCCAGUGAUGAUACCUGCUGAAGGUUGAUGCAGGAUUUGAUUUGCCAAGACAGACACAUUGCUACCGCGCACCAGCCAGCAAUCAGAAGAGGUAAUAGGAACAAAUUCCAGCAAGCUUCCCAGCAAAUUUCCAGCUAGCAAUGGCAGACAGAGGACAAACUCUUAGGCAAACUUUGUUCUCAGAGACAAUACAACAGUCAAAGCUGCGUUACCAACUACGGUUGUAGACUUCAAGAACAAUUCACCAUCCAUUCUUUAGAUAGACCUAAACGGUAGAGAUCUGUGAAAGAAAUAUCAGCUGAGGCAGGACACCAAUGGAUCUUCAAUCACCUCUCAAUGAUCUGCAGAAUUACCUCAAGUUCACUUCAGCACAUCUUACACACAGUUUUCCAAAAUGAAAAAAUGAAAGCUGACAUGUUCAAAAGUAAAGAACAUCUGAAAUGCGCACAUGGCUCACGCUUGAUGUUGACUGUCACUACAAGAAGCUUUUGCUUAAAAAGCAGCAUAAGAGCAUCAUUGAGAAUUACAAUAAAGGUAUGAUCAAGGCCAGAGAAAACUACUAGUGAGUUAAAAAAAACCCAAUACUGACAAAAUGAUGAUGUUGUCAUUGAACUCAGACUUCACAUCUUACGUAAUCCUGAUCACGUUCAGCCAAACAGUACAUAGAACGUCACAUAGCAACCUCAACAGAACACAGAAUUUGUUGCCAGGAUAAAGGCUGGAGAACUGUAGGAUUUUACAGGUCUUGCAUACGAACGCAUGUAUGAAAGCUGGGGGUUCUGUUAUACAUCUUAGUUGUUACAGUACUUACAAACAAUUCCACUUACCAAAUGUAUUAGACAAAAAUCAGCAGAGCUACCAAUGCUGUUGCGCACUCAAAAAAGCAUUGGGUUAUAAAUCCAUACAUCUUUUCCAGGUAACACCGUGCCUGUGGCUAUUGACAUCUACAGUCGACACCAAGGAGGAAAGUUUUCCUCAAAUAAAUACUUGGUUAAGCUAUUCUGAAGGCCUCGGGAUGGAUGUCUGAGAAGUGUCCCAGCAGCCAGCUUCCAUGCUUCAUCAGCCUCACUGCAAAGCGCCUGGUUUUUAAAUCCGCCUGACUACUCUGCGCCCAACUCUUUGUGUAAAACUGCUGAACACAUUCUGCCUCUGCUCACACUGCCUUCAAUAACACAUUUCCUCAGCUUGUCUUUAAGGAUGCCAUGGCAAACAGCACGCAAGCCUUCAGUGAAGCGCAGCUAAAGUACCCUGCAUUUACCAUCUCUCUCCUUCACAAGGUCUAUUGAUCUUAGAAGGAAAUUAGAACAGUAGGGCAAGAAUUCUUUUGGACAGAUCCACGCUAGCUGUUGACCACUGUGGUUCGAUUCUCUCCACUUGUUUUUUUCCUCAUUUUUCUAGGAGGGUGUUCACGUUCUUCAGUCUUCCCAAACUUCAGAGACUUAUAUUUCCUGAGGCCUGACUCUGAGAUGUGACAUUCACGGUGUCACACAAAGCAAGGAACAGAACCUGAAAACAGAGAGUUCCAACUCUCUGCUAGUUGCAUUUCCUUUAAACAUUUCUUCUCUUAAGUAUAUGCCAGCAAGCAUCGUAUGAUCUUCUAAAAGGGUGUACUGUGCAAGCCAUCUGGAUUAACAUUUCAACCACAUUAGGCUGCAAGAC
RNAcentral lists this long non-coding RNA (1811 nucleotides) under Phasianus colchicus (ring-necked pheasant). RNAcentral describes it as "lncRNA (ENSPCLG00000012835.1)". The record is from RNAcentral. Lineage: Eukaryota; Metazoa; Chordata; Aves; Galliformes; Phasianidae.